GAGAUGAGAUGAUGUGUUUCAAGAAUAUUGCAGCACUGCCAUUCUUCAUUUUUUGCUCAAGUACUCAAAAGAAUGAAUCCAAGGACAGACUGACAAAUACAAAAAAUAGCAUUCAGGGGGGGAAGGGGGGAAGGGAAUGCAAUUGAAUGGAACUGAAAUUCGGAAUUAGUUGCACUAGCCUUAAUACCUGCACAUCAGCUGCUCGUGAGAAGAAACUGUCAAUAUGGUGCUAGUUUUUUUGUAGAUAUUCAAGAAUCAUGGCCGAGGAGGAAUUAAAGCCCUCCAACUAUAUACCGGAGGUGAUCUCAAGAAUAGGGAAAAGAAAUGAAGAGGGGCAUUAGAAGGAAGCAACAGCUGGAGCAGAGUAUUAGGAAAAUCAAGGGAGAUAACGUCGUCACC
RNAcentral lists this long non-coding RNA (399 nucleotides) under Actinidia chinensis (golden kiwifruit). Its description in RNAcentral is "long non-coding RNA (ACHI_LNC007363)". The record is from RNAcentral. Lineage: Eukaryota; Viridiplantae; Streptophyta; Magnoliopsida; Ericales; Actinidiaceae.